This is a long non-coding RNA of Balaenoptera acutorostrata (minke whale), 2130 nucleotides long. RefSeq lists it as uncharacterized. NCBI's taxonomy places the organism in Eukaryota, Metazoa, Chordata, Mammalia, Artiodactyla, Balaenopteridae. The record is from RefSeq and is a predicted model, not a curated record. The transcript has 3 exons.
GGAGGCGGGGAUCCGCCGCCUCGCGCUGGGAGGUCGAUGGCGUGACCUUCCCUGCGCGCGUCCUGUGCUUGUUAAUCAACAGGACCACACGAGUAUGGUUUCCCCUGUCGUGCACCGGAGAUUUCCAGGUGACUUACGCUGGGACUCGCCGCCGGUGGGGGGCAGCCCCUCACCUGAAUGUCGCCCUGAGCCCUGCCCCGGGCCGGCUUCCUCGCCCAGGCCGCCUCUGGUCUCCGCGCAGUUACGAGAGCGGAGAGCCGAGAAAGACGUCACGGAAUUACGAAUACAAAAGGAGGCGGGAAAGUGAACAUGCGUUUAGAAAGGAGGAAUACGAUAAACGUCACUGAAUCCAGGAAAAUAAUAAUACGAGAAUGGAUAAUUCAGCAUCAUCACUGAGCCGUAUUUAUGUGCUUGUGCGGUUACCACAAUGUGUGAUAAAAACUGAAGCCCGUGCAUUGGCCCACUGGUCUCCCAGUCCUUUCUGACCAGCUUUCCCCGUGCCGUGGUCCAAAGUAGCCGCCCAGCUCAGGAAGAAGGAGCCCGGAACGAUGCUCCUAAUUUGACACCAUCCCUACGGAACACCACUUCCACCCGGCACCCCACCCUAGUAGCCUAAACCUGUGGCCUCAGGAACCAGACCAGCUAUGCAGACUCCUCCCCCACCACCCCCAUCGCCCAGUAACGGGGAAGGAUCACAAAUCAGCUCCUUCCCGGGCAGCGGAAGUAGGUGGGUUCCGCACCUCUGAGUCUUUCGGGGUUUUGGUAGGCGGCAAGGAAGAGGGUGAUGCUCGGCUGGGCAGCAGCAUCUCCGCCUCUGGCUGCGCUUGCACAGCGCCCCCUGCUGGCCCAGCCAGAAUUUUCACCCCUCAAAGCGCUGUUCAAAUUACAGGUAUAUAUAGGAAAUAAUUCUCAUUUGAAUGAUUUUAUAUCAGUUCUCAUAAAAUGUGCCUCAAUUUUAUAAAAUUUUAUAUAAUAAGUGGAGAUUUAUUCUGCACAGAGUUGCUGUAUGCAUAAUUUCAUGUUGGAAAGGUGUGGAAAUGUCACCACCAGUGAUAUUUCUGUGGUUGGAGAAGCACAGCUUUUGGCUGGUCCCUUUGUGGACACAGAAACUGCUGUGUAACAGUGAAAACGUCAUUCCGGAUGAAUUAUCAACCACAACCAUCAAGGCAAUACGUUUGGCUGCCAAGAAAAGGGUUUACUUUCUUCUGUUGUUUCAGGGCUGAUGGAAGUGAAGAGGGUGUAAAUAGCCAACAACAAAUUGACUUUCCAAAAGAUGUCAGUCAAAGCUCACAAAAUGUGUUUAUUCUUUGAUUUAAUGAGCCUUCUUUUUGAGAUCUAUCCUAAGUAGUUAAGGUUGUUGGCAAGGAUUUAGCUGUAGGAUCUUUAGUGAAGCACUGUUUAUACAGUAACUCUCCUCCAUAACGAACCUUCAAGUUUCGAACUUUCAAAGAUGCGAAAGUACGUUCACGUGUUCAAUCACAUAACUUAGUUCACGUGUCUGGCAUACAUUGUUAUGUGCGUGCAUUCUCCACACGUGGUUGUGCUUUUGUGUACUUUACUGUACAGUACUGUUGCUGUGCAACACGAGGAGCUUACUAAUGAAGACCUGAAGGAAUUGGAGGCCCAGAGAAAGGAUAAAUAUAGACAAGAGGAAGAAGAAGUAACUGAAGAACAAAAGAGAUUCACGAUGUAGGAAGUAGCAAGGGGAUUUUCUUUAUUUGAGGAGGCACCGUUAGUUUUUGAGGCACAGGACCUGAACGUAGAACAGUACACGAAGGUUGCAGCAGCUGUUCAGAAUGUAAUCCAGUGCUACCGUGUCAUCUAUGACGAGAAGAAAGAGCUACUACCCAGACGUCACUGGAUCAUUUUUUCAAGAGGGUAGAUAGAAUUGAAUCCAGCAAGGAACCAGACGUGUGCUAUCAACGUCAGGCAUGAGUGAAAUUGCAGCUUGCUCUCCGUCUCCUAUUGCUGAUGACCCUUCAGCUCUACCAUCUCCCACCUCCUCUCCCUCCUCCAGUCAGUAACUCUUCUUGCCUGUUCACUCGAUGCCAGCCCCUGGAUGCCAGCUGUUGUACUGUACUACUGUACUUUUCAAGAUACUGUACUGUAAGAUUAAAAAUGUUUUCUUUA